Molecule: ribosomal RNA, 497 nt
Filed under: uncultured bacterium
Lineage: Bacteria
Description: partial 16S ribosomal RNA
Rfam family: Bacterial small subunit ribosomal RNA
Source: RNAcentral
UCUUAACUCUGGCGGCGUGCCUAAUACAUGCAAGUCGAGCGAACAGACGAGGAGCUUGCUCCUCUGACGUUAGCGGCGGACGGGUGAGUAACACGUGGAUAACCUACCUAUAAGACUGGGAUAACUUCGGGAAACCGGAGCUAAUACCGGAUAAUAUAUUGAACCGCAUGGUUCAAUAGUGAAAGACGGUUUUGCUGUCACUUAUAGAUGGAUCCGCGCCGCAUUAGCUAGUUGGUAAGGUAACGGCUUACCAAGGCAACGAUGCGUAGCCGACCUGAGAGGGUGAUCGGCCACACUGGAACUGAGACACGGUCCAGACUCCUACGGGAGGCAGCAGUAGGGAAUCUUCCGCAAUGGGCGAAAGCCUGACGGAGCAACGCCGCGUGAGUGAUGAAGGUCUUCGGAUCGUAAAACUCUGUUAUUAGGGAAGAACAAAUGUGUAAGUAACUAUGCACGUCUUGACGGUACCUAAUCAGAAAGCCACGGCUAACUACGUG